Molecule: long non-coding RNA, 790 nt
Organism: Colias croceus (clouded yellow)
Lineage: Eukaryota; Metazoa; Arthropoda; Insecta; Lepidoptera; Pieridae
Exons: 3
Source: RefSeq, a predicted model, not a curated record
UGUACUUCUAUCAAUUUGGCAUUUCAAAAAUUCAGACAAAACAAUAUUAUCUAUUAUGUUAAUAAUCGUAAAUAUUUCAUUUUAGGAAUUGAUGAACACAUAAUGUUAAAAACUAUAAUAAUUAACGUUACAUUCUUGUUGGUUUGCUAUUUAAAUAUAAUAAUAAGUGUGGUAUACGAUCUUGACAAUGCUAGAGAUAUUUUUGAACUGUUCAAAGAUAAAUAUAAUAAGAAAUACAAAGGUGAAAUGGAGGAAAACACGCGAUUAAAUAACUUUGUUGUUACUUUGAAUAAAGUGUCUCGCCUGAAUGAAGCAGAAUUAGACAAAAAUACAUUUUAUAUCGUCAAUCAAUAUGCAGAUUUGAAUCCAGAAGAGAUAGACGAACAUUAUGCCAUUCAAAUUAAACCUUAUUUUAAGGUGAGUAACACAGAAGCUGAAUACGCAGGACGACAGCGAAAUAAAGAAGUAAAUACAAGUGAGCUUUACGACUUAGAUAACGCCCAAGAGCUUUAUAAACAAUACAUAGAGAAGUACAAUAAGACGAACUACAAGAAAAAAUACAAUCAGCAAAUUCACUUCUAUAGAUUUGUUAAAACACUAGUGGAGUUAAAUAAUAACUAUUUUAAAGACUCUGGAAAUGUAACGAUUGAUGAGAAUGCUGAUGUUAUAAGGGAACCAAAUGAAUAUUUUUACUGAUAUCCGACGAUGCCGGACAAGGACCCGGGUAUAAUUGGAGCUCCCAAAUUAGCGAAGCCUGGAAGACAAAUAUAAAUUAAUAAUUGUGUGUCGU